UACGUAGGGAGCAAGCGUUGUCCGGAAUCAUUGGGCGUAAAGCGCGCGUAGGUGGCCAUGUAAGUCCGCUGUGAAAGUCAAAGGCUCAACCUUUGAAAGCCGGUGGAUACUGCAUGGCUAGAGUACGGAAGAGGCGAGUGGAAUUCCUGGUGUAGCGGUGGAAUGCGCAGAUAUCAGGAGGAACACCAAUGGCGAAGGCAGCUCGCUGGGACGGUACUGACGCUGAGGCGCGAAAGCGUGGGGAGCAAACAGG
Molecule: ribosomal RNA, 253 nt
Filed under: uncultured bacterium
Lineage: Bacteria
Description: partial 16S ribosomal RNA
Rfam family: Bacterial small subunit ribosomal RNA
Source: RNAcentral